Molecule: ribosomal RNA, 373 nt
Filed under: uncultured bacterium
Lineage: Bacteria
Description: bacterial SSU rRNA
Rfam family: Bacterial small subunit ribosomal RNA
Source: RNAcentral
UGGGGAAUUUUACACAAUGGGGGAAACCCUGAUGUAGCAACGCCGCGUGGAGGAUGACGGAUCUAGGUCUGUAAACUCCUUUUAUAAGGGAAGAAAUUUGACGGUACCUUAUGAAUAAGCACCGGCUAACUCCGUGCCAGCAGCCGCGGUAAUACGGGGGGUGCAAGCGUUACUCGGAAUCACUGGGCGUAAAGGGAGCGUAGGCGUUUUAUUAAGUCUUGAGUGAAAGCUCGCAGCUCAACUGCGGAACUGCUCAGGAAACUGAUAGAAUUUAGUAUGGAAGAGGUAGGUGGAAUUUCCGGUGUAGGGGUACAAUCCGUAGAUAUCGGAAGGAAUACCAGAAGCGAAGGCGACCUACUGGGACAUUACUGAC